Molecule: long non-coding RNA, 3399 nt
Organism: Siniperca chuatsi (mandarin fish)
Lineage: Eukaryota; Metazoa; Chordata; Actinopteri; Centrarchiformes; Sinipercidae
Exons: 2
Source: RefSeq, a predicted model, not a curated record
CAUUUCCAAUCCUCGAGGGCAGACAAAUGCAUAUAAGUGAAUGCAGCUGUUGUGACUCGUGCUGUGACUCGUGCUGUGACUCGUGCUGUGACUCGUGCUGUGACUCGUGUUGUGUGUGUUUCCCUCCAGGUUCUGCAGACAGACCGCGGCUGCAACAGCGCCCCUCACUCCGUGCACCGGUCGUAGGCUGACACCUGCUGGUGAGUUUGUGGAACUGCACUGACACUUUGAAUUAAAAACAAAAGCAGGAAGUAAUGAAGCAGGAAGAAACAGCCACAGCUAAAACAGAUGUGGACGUAGAGAACAGUUUAAGCACUUGAAUAAAAACGAGUCCCGGCCCGUGUUACAGAAACAUCUCGACUCUGACACGCUGUGCCGUUUCAGGCACAGCUGGUGGUUUGAAUGAGGUGAAAGAGCACUCCCCGUUUGCCCCUGUUUCAGUCCCGAUCAUGUGGAGGAGUCCAGCAGAGAGACAUCCACGUCCUAAGAGCGAGAAUCCACCUCCCAAAGCCAGCGUGUGUGUGAUCACACCAGCCGCCCUGCGACAAAACAACAUGGUGGCGAGCGCACGAAGCUCCGGCUGUAUCUGCAGUCCCGGUUCCUGUCCUUCCUGUCGGGGUCGAGCUCUUCAGAAACACGCUGCAGCCCGUGUGUCUCUCUGUCUCGCCCCCACCCCCACCCCGUCUCUCUCUCUGUGUGUGUCCUCGGGGGAGGGUUGCAGCAGCUGUCUGUGGGGGGGCUGCAGGGCCUCUGGGUGGAGGAGGAGCAGUGAGUGAGUCUUUUGUUCCCCGCCCUUCAGCACACCAAUCCUGGCCGCCUGACGUAAAGGCUCUUUGCAUAGCUUUCCCAUAAGACCUGCGAGCUCCUCGGCAGAGCAGACGGACCCGGAGCGGGUCAGACCGGGUCAGAUUGGGUCUCGGCGGGUCACAGUAGGUACGGGGCUCACAGCACAGCCCCCGGGCCUCUGCUGCGCUCUGCCUGGAUGAAAGCCAUUGACAGGAGGUUUGGUCCCUUCCAGCCGGUGUGACAGCCCCCACCAUUAGUCAGGCUGGCCCCGGGACAGAGCCCCUUAUACAGCAGGCAGGGACAGGGUUCUGUUGUGUUACUCCGGUAGCACAUAUACUAAAAUUGGAACGAUACAGAGAAGAUUAGCAUGGCCCCUGCGCAAGGAUGACACGCAAAUUCGUGAAGCGUUCCUCAUUUUGUCCCCUAACAAACAUGGUGUUUAGGGUUGUUAUCUGUGAGAAACAGCGCCCCCCCGCGGCCGAGCAGCGCUACUGCAACUCUGUUUAAACCGGGACCUUUACGACUUCACUGGACCCUAAGUACGGAUCCACCAUGUGUCCGGUCCCUCUGUGGCUACGGAGGUUUUACCCAGACACACUUCAGAAUCAGGACCGGGUUUUACUGCAGAGCCGCUUCGGUGUAUUUUGGUGCAAAGCAAGAGAAAAGCCGUCUGUGCAGCGUGAAGCAUGCGGGAGCUGGGAAUCCGAAUCCGGCGCUAGAGAACGGAGCGUCGUGUCCCGCCGGACGGGACCGAGGAGCGGGCGGAGAAAGGAAGGAGACUCGCUGACGUGGAAAAGUCCAGACACGAAGCCCGUUAAACGGACGCGGUUCGAGGCCCGGAUCCUGUUUCAUCCGGCCCGCAGCGGGCAGCGCGUAACAGAGCGGGCCCGGGCCGGUCCGGUACCGCGUCCGGUACCGGCGGCAGGAGACACACACGGCCGCUCAAACGCCUCCGUCUCCGGUUACCUGCGGCCGUUAAUUUCUAUAUCUAUGUGUGUGUGUAAAUAUGUGUGUAUGCUGUCCUGUGACCUGAGGGUCAAGCAAAGCAGCACCUUCAGCGGAGACUCAUCCUCCCACAAUGCACCACAGAGCGCCACAGGAAGUCAUCAGACUCUUUAACUCCUCCCUCUAAGUGUCAGUCUGUUUGACCCGAAGUCACUAAACUGGACAUUGAUCAUUAACAUCUCUGCAAUACUUGAGAUAAUUAUACAAUAUCCUGUGUUUUCAGUUUAAUUAUUGAUAUUUAUUCAUACAUUCAUAUUCCUGCUGGGGCGGUCCCCCCCUCGCCCUUGACGCAGCAGCACACAGCUGGAACAGAUGUGCAUCAUCCAGAUCAGAGCCGUCGUUUCACCAUCCCGUUCUCUGGUUCUGGUUUCUGCACAUUUUAAACGUGUGUACGAGCAGUGGACAUUUUCAGUCUGGUUGUUUUUGUGAAAGUCGUGUUUCCAGUCAGGGAUAAACUUUCAUUUCUGUAGCUCUUCGUCUACAUACGCUCUUCAUGUAUAAUGUAAUACAAACAUGAGACAUAUUACUGAGACCUUUUACUGUUCUACAUGUAUUACUACAUCAUCAUCAGUCAUCCUGUCUGUUUCACUGCUUCACGGCCCCUGAAGCUCUCCUCCAGCUUUGCCGCAGCCGGGGAUCGAACAGCCGACCUUCUGCUCCGCAGCAGAUACACAGGAGAGGCCCGCCCCCUUCGGGACGGUGAUGUCCCGCCGUCCAAUCACUGCACAGUAUUUGUUCCCGCUGCGGACAACACACAGCCAAUCAGAUGGCUCGAUUUGUUCCAAUUCCGAGAAUCAAACGUUUGGCGCCCAAUAGGAGAAGCGGAUUUGUUCCGAUUUCUGCCCGUGGCCCCGCCUCCUGUAGCAUCAAGGUUCGGCGCAGUGAAACGUCAUAUAUCUGUCACGGCUGACCGACGUGUUUUUACGGCACUUUGUGAGACAGCGUAACGUUAGAGCGGAGCUUUAUUACGGCUCAAAGUGUCAGACUUUAGUUUUACUGUGAGGAAUUUAUUAUAUAAACUGUCUGUCAUUGCUUUGUGUUAGCCAGCUAACGUUCAUGCUGUUUAAACCGUUUUAUUCAACUCUGUACUGCCGGCUGUUAGCACGGCUGGGCUGUUAGCAUGCUAACACACCUCCGUGAUCGAUAGAUCCAUAAAACCUGAUCGAUCUAAUGUAAAUAAGAACUCAUUGGUGUAUCGCUUGUAUGCCGAAUUUCUUAGUCUAAACCCCUGAUUUAAAAAAGUCCUAAUUCAUGUUUGUGGAGGUGACAAAAGCAAGACGAUUCUAAAUUUGUCCGAUUUCAUAUUUCUCGACCGGUCAGGCAGGUUUCAUGGGGAAACUGGUCGAGUUCAGACUCGAAACAGUGACUCACUGUUGAGCUGCUGGUGGAUUUAAAAAAAAAAAAAAAAAAAGACAACUUUUUCACCAGUCAGCUGUUCAACCACUUAAUGUAGAUUUCCAAUAUUUAAUAUCGGAACAUCUGUGACAACAUGGCGCCGAGUAACAGUCUGAUAUGCAGACAGAGAUCUGGUGUCUAACAGUCGUCCUGUCAUAUUAUAGCUGCUCCUGCUGACCAAUCAGAGAGCUUUCAAUAAACUGCUGACUGUCA